Molecule: ribosomal RNA, 513 nt
Filed under: uncultured bacterium
Lineage: Bacteria
Description: bacterial SSU rRNA
Rfam family: Bacterial small subunit ribosomal RNA
Source: RNAcentral
AACGCUGGCGGCGUGCCUAAUACAUGCAAGUGGAACGCAUGAUUGAUACCGUAGCUUGCUACACCAUUAAUCAUGAGUCGCGAACGGGUGAGUAACGCGUAGGUAACCUGCCUACUAGCGGGGGAUAACUAUUGGAAACGAUAGCUAAUACCGCAUAAGAGUUUUUAACACAUGUUAGAAAUUUAAAAGGAGCAAAUGCUUCACUAGUAGAUGGACCUGCGUUGUAUUAGCUAGUUGGUAAGGUAACGGCUUACCAAGGCGACGAUACAUAGCCGACCUGAGAGGGUGAUCGGCCACACUGGGACUGAGACACGGCCCAGACUCCUACGGGAGGCAGCAGUAGGGAAUCUUCGGCAAUGGGGGGAACCCUGACCGAGCAACGCCGCGUGAAGUGAAGAAGGUUUUCGGAUCGUAAAGCUCUGUUGUAAGAGAAGAACGUUGAGUAGAGUGGAAAGUUACUCAAGUGACGGUAUCUUACCAGAAAGGGACGGCUAACUACGUGCCAGCCGCCGC